UUUUAACAUGUUAAAAAAUCCCCGAAGGUGCGUCCGAUGUUGAGGGUUCGUAUUGAGUUCGUAUCACCAUCUUCACCAUCGUAAUGUCACCGGGCAUGCAUCUUUGCACAUCGUAUUGCAUUCGUGUUUCCAUCGUUUCCAUCGGGCAGUUUUGACAUUACGAUGUCUACACGAAUGAAUCACGAAGAUACCCGAAGGUCUUACGAUGGCAACACGACUUCGUGAAGACCUCGUAAUCCCGUCGUGUUGCCAUCGAAUAAAAGUACGAAGGCGACAAGAUGGAACUACGACGGCAAUAAAUCCAGCUAAAUGUAAGUUAAUUUUCGCGCUAAAAUACAUUUAAAGUUCUAUGCGCGAUAUGCACUGGUCAGUCUAAUACGACAGUUAAGAAAGACGUUCACAAAACAUGGAGCUCAUAUCAUAUGAUUCUAUGAGAACAAGAAAGGCGACAGCGUUGUUUCUAUUAAUUCAAAUGGAACAAGAAGAGCAGCUAUUACAGGCUCGGGAUUUACUUUUACAAGUAAAAUAUUAUUUUUUGUCAAUUUUUCAUAUCAAGUAACAUAAUGAAAAUCAUAAAACGCGCCUCGUACACCAACACUGCAGGUACACGUAUAUAGGGAAACCAACUUUGUCUUCAUUAUUCUGAUUUUUUAUGUAUCGUCUGAGUUGUUGUCACACGAAUGUUUACUCCAUAACCAUUUUGUUUAGUAUAUGACAUAUUUUGCCGCAUUUGUUGCUUUCCCCACAUCCUUCCUUUUGUCUAUAUUAUUAUGAUAUUCUCCUGGAAAGAGCUCUUUUUGAAUAAAAGGGAUUAACGAACCCAUUACCUUACCUUUAAGAUAGAUCAGUAAACAUGGGCCUAAUUGUGGGUGAUUAUUCAGACUAGUGCAUACAUUUUACAGUUCAAACAAGGCAAUGCCGAGCGUGGCAUCCCCUCGUACGUAUGUAACAUAUUGGGGACAAAUAUGGACCCUAUAUUUGUAUAUGACACAUGCAGAAAAUGGUAAAUUGAAUAUGCAUAUUUGAUACAUAAACUAUUUAGAAAUCAAUCAAAACAUUCAGUAACUGGAAAUACCUUUAAUAUUGUCUUUAGAACCAGCAGGUAAAAAAUGAGCAACCAAUUUCCUGUGUAUAUAUGCUAUUUCAAGGAGAAAAAACAAGUCCAUCUGCAUGACCUUGACCUUUGGCCUUGAACGUAAAAAAUGUCAGAUCAUUACAAGGAGGAACAAUAUACCAAAUGUGGUUAAAAUCUUUUGAAGCAUAUUGGUUUUAGAGUGUCCACAAGGGUGAUAUUGCCUUGUAUUACAACUGCCACUGUAACCUUGACAUUUGAACUUUAAAGUCAAUAGCGCUUAAGAUAUUCCUAACGAGUAACACCAUACCAAGUUUUGAGCAUUUUGGUUCUAGAGUGUCCAUAAUAAUUUUAUCUACACGCAACUUACAUGUAGUAGGCGAGGGGAUAAUAAACUAAGUUUUAUAAGAAUUAGACAAAAAGAUCGAUUUCCUGCCAUGCA
RNAcentral lists this long non-coding RNA (1514 nucleotides) under Mytilus galloprovincialis (Mediterranean mussel). Lineage: Eukaryota; Metazoa; Mollusca; Bivalvia; Mytilida; Mytilidae. The record is from RNAcentral.